RNAcentral lists this unclassified non-coding RNA (344 nucleotides) under soil metagenome. RNAcentral describes it as "partial contains 5.8S ribosomal RNA, internal transcribed spacer 2, and large subunit ribosomal RNA". The stretch from base 1 to 119 matches the Rfam family "5.8S ribosomal RNA", at positions 35 to 154 of the family's 154-position model. The record is from RNAcentral.
GAUGAAGAACGUAGCGAAAUGCGAUACGUAAUGUGAAUUGCAAAUUCAGUGAAUCAUCGAGUCUUUGAACGCACAUUGCGCCCCCUGGUAUUCCGGGGGGCAUGCCUGUCCGAGCGUCAUUGCUGCCCUCAAGCACGGCUUGUGUGUUGGGUCUCCGUCCUCCUCCCGGGGGACGGGCCCGAAAGGCAGCGGCGGCACCGCGUCCGGUCCUCGAGCGUAUGGGGCUUCGUCACCCGCUCUUGUAGGCCCGGCCGGCGCUUGCCGACACAUCAAUCUUUUUUCCAGGUUGACCUCGGAUCAGGUAGGGAUACCCGCUGAACUUAAGCAUAUCAAUAAGCGGAGGA